Molecule: ribosomal RNA, 448 nt
Filed under: uncultured bacterium
Lineage: Bacteria
Description: bacterial SSU rRNA
Rfam family: Bacterial small subunit ribosomal RNA
Source: RNAcentral
ACUCCUACGGGAGGCAGCAGUGGGGAAUAUUGGACAAUGGGGGAAACCCUGAUCCAGCAAUGCCGCGUGAGUGAUGAAGGCCUUAGGGUUGUAAAGCUCUUUUACCAGGGAUGAUAAUGACAGUACCUGGAGAAUAAGCUCCGGCUAACUCCGUGCCAGCAGCCGCGGUAAUACGGAGGGAGCUAGCGUUGUUCGGAAUUACUGGGGCGUAAAGCGCACGUAGGCGGUUACUCAAGUCAGAGGUGAAAGCCCGGGGCUCAACCCCGGAACUGCCUUUGAAACUAGGUAACUAGAAUCCUGGAGAGGUGAGUGGAAUUCCGAGUGUAGAGGUGAAAUUCGUAGAUAUUCGGAAGAACACCAGUGGCGAAGGCGGCUCACUGGACAGGUAUUGACGCUGAGGUGCGAAAGCGUGGGAGCAAACAGGAUUAGAUACCCUGGUAGCACAGAG